GCUGACUGUGCAAUCACAAUGACUGACUCGGACUUACUGGCUCUGAUGACUGGUAAAAUGAAUCCUCAGAUGGCCUUUUUUCGAGGCAAAUUGAAAAUCACUGGCAAUGCAUUGCAAGAGGGCCAAUGUGAGUGGAAUAUAGUGACCUAGAAGGACAGCUCCAAGAUGAUGUUAGAUAGACACACAGGAGCCAGCUAUAUUGGCAUUUGUUCAUUAAG
Capra hircus (goat) is the source of this 218-nucleotide long non-coding RNA. RefSeq lists it as uncharacterized. Lineage: Eukaryota; Metazoa; Chordata; Mammalia; Artiodactyla; Bovidae. The transcript has 3 exons. The record is from RefSeq and is a predicted model, not a curated record.